CGAUGCGAUCAUACCAGCACUAACGCACCGGA
This 32-nucleotide ribosomal RNA is filed under the name Solanum villosum. The record is from RNAcentral. Lineage: Eukaryota; Viridiplantae; Streptophyta; Magnoliopsida; Solanales; Solanaceae.